Molecule: ribosomal RNA, 253 nt
Filed under: uncultured bacterium
Lineage: Bacteria
Description: partial 16S ribosomal RNA
Rfam family: Bacterial small subunit ribosomal RNA
Source: RNAcentral
UACGAAGGGUGCUAGCGUUGCUCGGAAUCACUGGGCGUAAAGCGCACGUAGGCGGCUUCUUAAGUCAGGGGUGAAAUCCUGGAGCUCAACUCCAGAACUGCCUUUGAUACUGAGAAGCUUGAGUCCGGGAGAGGUGAGUGGAACUGCGAGUGUAGAGGUGAAAUUCGUAGAUAUUCGCAAGAACACCAGUGGCGAAGGCGGCUCACUGGCCCGGUACUGACGCUGAGGUGCGAAAGCGUGGGGAGCAAACAGG